AGAUUGAACGCUGGCGGCAUGCUUUACACAUGCAAGUCGAACGGUAACAGGCCGCAAGGUGCUGACGAGUGGCGAACGGGUGAGUAAUGCAUCGGAACGUGCCCAGUCGUGGGGGAUAACGCAGCGAAAGCUGUGCUAAUACCGCAUACGAUCUAUGGAUGAAAGCGGGGGACCGAAAGGCCUCGCGCGAUUGGAGCGGCCGAUGUCAGAUUAGCUAGUUGGUGGGGUAAAGCCCACCAAGGCGACGAUCUGUAGCUGGUCUGGAGAGGACGACCAGCCACACUGGAACUGAGACACGGUCCAGACCUCCGUACGGGAGCAGCGAGUAGGGGAAUUUUGGAACAAGUGGGGCACGAAGCCUGAUCCAGCAAUGCCGCGUGACGAAGGAAGAACGG
Molecule: ribosomal RNA, 395 nt
Filed under: uncultured soil bacterium
Lineage: Bacteria
Description: bacterial SSU rRNA
Rfam family: Bacterial small subunit ribosomal RNA
Source: RNAcentral